CCUACGGGAGGCAGCAGUGGGGAAUAUUGCGCAAUGGGCGAAAGCCUGACGCAGCGACGCCGCGUGAGGGAUAAAGGUCUUCGGAUCGUUAACCUCUGUCAGCAGGGAAGAACGGUCACUGUGCUAAUCAGCAGUGAAUUGACGGUACCUGCAAAGGAAGCACCGGCUAACUCCGUGCCAGCAGCCGCGGUAAUACGGAGGGUGCGAGCGUUAAUCGGAAUUACUGGGCGUAAAGCGCUCGUAGGCGGUAUGUCAAGUCAAGGGUGAAAUCCCCGCGCUCAACGUGGGAACUGCCUUUGAAACUGGCAAACUGGAGUGUGUGAGAGGAUAGUGGAAUGCCAGGUGUAGGAGUGAAAUCCGUAGAUAUCGGGAGGAACAUCAGUGGCGAAGGCGACGAUCUGGCACAUAACUGACGCUGAGGAGCGAAAGCGUGGGUAGCAAACAGGAUUAGAUACCCGGGUAGUC
Molecule: ribosomal RNA, 465 nt
Filed under: uncultured bacterium
Lineage: Bacteria
Description: partial 16S ribosomal RNA
Rfam family: Bacterial small subunit ribosomal RNA
Source: RNAcentral